AUACGUAGGUGACAAGCGUUAUCCGGAUUUACUGGGUGUAAAGGGCGUGUAGGCGGUUUAGCAAGUAAGAAGUGAAAUUCCCGGGCUUAACUUGGGCACUGCUUCUGAAACUGCUUUACUUUAGGGCUGGAGAGGAGAGUGGAAUUCCUAGUGUAGCGGUAAAAUGCGCAGAUAUUAGGAGGAACACCGGUGGCGAAGGCGGCUAUCUGGACAGUAACUGACGCUGAGGCGCGAAAGCACGGGGAGCAAACAGGAUUAGAUACCCUGGUAGUCCGUGCCGUAAACGAUGAAUACUAGGUGUAGGGGGUAUCGACUCCCUCUGUGCCGCAGUUAACACAUUAAGUAUUCCACCUGGGGAGUACGGCCGCAAGGUUGAAACUCAAAGGAAUUGGCGGGG
Molecule: ribosomal RNA, 397 nt
Filed under: uncultured bacterium
Lineage: Bacteria
Description: partial 16S ribosomal RNA
Rfam family: Bacterial small subunit ribosomal RNA
Source: RNAcentral